RNAcentral lists this ribosomal RNA (253 nucleotides) under uncultured prokaryote. RNAcentral's name for it is "partial 16S ribosomal RNA". It matches the Rfam family "Bacterial small subunit ribosomal RNA", at positions 524 to 776 of the family's 1533-position model. The record is from RNAcentral.
UACGUAGGGUGCGAGCGUUAAUCGGAAUUACUGGGCGUAAAGGGCGCGUAGGUGGUAGCGUAAGUGAGCUGUGAAAUCCCCGGGCUUAACCUGGGAAUGGCGGCUUAUACUGCGUAACUGGAGUGCGGUAGAGGGUAGUGGAAUUUCCGGUGUAGCGGUGAAAUGCGUAGAUAUCGGAAGGAACACCAGUGGCGAAGGCGGCUACCUGGACUGACACUGACACUGAGGCGCGAGAGCGUGGGGAGCAAACAGG